RNAcentral lists this ribosomal RNA (223 nucleotides) under uncultured bacterium. RNAcentral describes it as "partial 16S ribosomal RNA". It matches the Rfam family "Bacterial small subunit ribosomal RNA", at positions 125 to 334 of the family's 1533-position model. The record is from RNAcentral.
CCUUCCCGGGAGUGGGGGAUACCCUGCCGAAAGGCGGGCUAAUACCGCAUAUGCGGAUAGGGCUUUGGCUUUAUUCGUAAAGCAGGCCUCUGCGCGCAAGCCUGCGCUCCCGGCUGGGUCCGCGGCCCAUCAGCUAGUUGGCGAGGUAAUGGCUCACCAAGGCAACGACGGGUAGCUGGUCUGAGAGGAUGGCCAGCCACACUGGAACUGAGACACGGUCCAG